RNAcentral lists this transfer RNA (69 nucleotides) under Pelophylax cf. bedriagae MPFC1082. RNAcentral describes it as "tRNA-Val". It matches the Rfam family "tRNA". Rfam says of the family: Transfer RNA (tRNA) molecules are approximately 80 nucleotides in length. Their secondary structure includes four short double-helical elements and three loops (D, anti-codon, and T loops). The record is from RNAcentral. Lineage: Eukaryota; Metazoa; Chordata; Amphibia; Anura; Ranidae.
CAAAAUGUAGCUUAAUAAAAGCUCUCCGCUUACACCGGAUAGAUAUCUGUUUAACCCAGAUCAUUUUGA